UACGGAGGGUGCGAGCGUUAAUCGGAAUUACUGGGCGUAAAGCGUGCGUAGGCGGCCUGCCAAGUCAGAUGUGAAAGCCCCGGGCUCAACCUGGGAACGGCAUUUGAAACUGGCAGGCUAGAGUUAGGUAGAGGGGAGUGGAAUUCCGGGUGUAGCGGUGAAAUGCGUAGAUAUCCGGAGGAACACCAGUGGCGAAGGCGGCUCCCUGGACCCAAACUGACGCUGAGGUACGAAAGCGUGGGUAGCAAACAGG
Molecule: ribosomal RNA, 253 nt
Filed under: uncultured bacterium
Lineage: Bacteria
Description: partial 16S ribosomal RNA
Rfam family: Bacterial small subunit ribosomal RNA
Source: RNAcentral